UUCAGUGGUUUACUCGCUAGAGGCGCUGAUCAUUGUUUCCUAACUGGACGAGGCGGGUGUUGGCGCAGUAAGGGAAAUGGGAGAACUUUUCACCGGAUCCCCUAACAUCUGUGCCCACCAACCAGUUGUUCAAUGUUCAUCCUGUAGUUCCAGUGUUUAUAGCAAAAUUCAACCAUUAAAAAAUAAGAGUUUAGUGUUCAUUUGAUUUGAUCAUAAUAUUUCAUUUAAUUUACCGGCUACCGCUCCCACUUUAGUGAAGAAAAAGUGUAUCUAAAAUAAAAUGUGGAACUGGAAUACUUUUGAUAGAUUUAGCCGUCGAUGGUAUUACACCGCAAUGCCAUUUGCCAUGGCAAUUAAUUGCUAUUACUGGUACAAAAUAUUCACCGUGAGACAAACAAUGGAAAGAGAUUACCAGAUGGAAAGACGACAAAGACGUACAGCUGAGGCAGAAAAACGUCUAGCAGAGGCUUAAAAAUGUGAAGAAUGAAGAGGAAAAACGAAUGCUCCGAAGCCAAACAGAAAUAAGGAAAAUGAAGUCUCUCUUAAAGUUAAAUUGUACCAAUUUAUUUAUGCCUAUGUAUUGAUUGGGUGAUAAAUUCGAACAACGAUGAUUUUGAAUCGAAAUAUCGAAAAUAUAGUCGAGUUCAAUUUUU
Planococcus citri (citrus mealybug) is the source of this 653-nucleotide long non-coding RNA. RefSeq lists it as uncharacterized. The transcript is spliced from 2 exons. The record is from RefSeq and is a predicted model, not a curated record. NCBI's taxonomy places the organism in Eukaryota, Metazoa, Arthropoda, Insecta, Hemiptera, Pseudococcidae.